This 181-nucleotide non-coding RNA is filed under the name Lotharella globosa. The record is from RNAcentral. Lineage: Eukaryota; Cercozoa; Chlorarachniophyceae.
AACAACACCCAAAAUAAAAAAGAACAAACAUAAACGAACAUGAACGAACAAAACAGAUACAGUCGUCCCCGGAGAUAUGGGGACAGGAGAAAAGUGCAUUGCGCCUUUUUUUUUUUUUUUUUUUUCUUGUUUCGAUAAUAAUUCGGGUUAUCAGAAGAAGAUACAAGGGUUGGUAUUUGGU